Sinocyclocheilus rhinocerous is the source of this 990-nucleotide long non-coding RNA. RefSeq lists it as uncharacterized. NCBI's taxonomy places the organism in Eukaryota, Metazoa, Chordata, Actinopteri, Cypriniformes, Cyprinidae. The record is from RefSeq and is a predicted model, not a curated record. The transcript is spliced from 3 exons.
AUCUCGCGUGCCUCGUGCGAGCAAAUGUCUCCCGCUGAGGUGAUGAAUUGCAUGAUAAUCCGUGUUUCUGAUAGCCAGUGAUUAUUAGCAUGCUCCGAUUAAAGUGUUAAGCGGUGAAACCGAACCCCAGUUAUGUCUAAACGGUCGGAUUUUUUGUAAUCUGCGAUGUUCGUUUACUUUUUACAGGCACCCGCAUUUAUGGAUAUGAGGUACCUUAGCGACUGAAAGCAGUAAAGUGUUGAGUAAGGUAUUUACUUCAUGUGACCAGACUGACUUCUAUUGAUUUGAAUGAACUCCACUGACCUUUAUUUUAAAAACCCAAUUAUUUCGUAGAAAACUAGUAUAAUUGUAACUUGUAGAAUAGUAUGUCCAUGUGCUUGCUAUCCUUGGAACUCUGAAACAUGCCAGCAAUAUACUGUCAGUCAGUGAUGUAAUGAUUUGAAACUGCUACAAUAAAUUCUCAUUUUAAAAUACAUGGCUGAUUCAUGGUGUGGGUUGUGUACAAGCAAUUAAUUUUAAAGUCCGCUAUAAAAAGAGAUUGGGUGUUUCCUUUCGUGUGUGACCACUUUAGUAGCUUUAUGCAUAAACAGUUUUUAAACAAUUUAAUUGUUUUAAAUUGUUUUAGAUAUUUCCAACAAGAAAGCCCAUAAAGGUGUGGUUCCUGCAUGAGUUUGUACUUUCAAAAGUGAGUUCACAAUGACUCUAAAAUACCUGUGAUCAUUUGCUGGUGACUUAAUAAUUCCAGUCCUGUAAAUGUAUACACGGUUAAGUAUUUACGCAAUCUUUGUUCAAAUUCACAAGAGGUAAUGCAAAGAUUUUAUAUAUACACAGAAUGUAAGUCUGGAUUUACCGUGGUUAUUCAAAUGAAUGUGUAACGGCAAUGCAGUCUUCAAAUGGGGGUAAUCCUGUAUCAGCAGUUUGUCAACUUUAAGGCUAAUUUAAAAUGAAAGCAAGCUGCAUAUAGCUCAUUUAUAAUGGAGUUAAAUCAAA